RNAcentral lists this ribosomal RNA (255 nucleotides) under uncultured bacterium. Its description in RNAcentral is "partial 16S ribosomal RNA". It matches the Rfam family "Bacterial small subunit ribosomal RNA", at positions 524 to 776 of the family's 1533-position model. The record is from RNAcentral.
UACGUAGGGUGCGAGCGUUGUCCGGAAUUAUUGGGCGUAAAGAGCUUGUAGGCGGUUUGUCGCGUCUGCUGUGAAAAUCCGGGGCUCAACCCCGGACUUGCAGUGGGUACGGGCAGACUAGAGUGUGGUAGGGGAGACUGGAAUUCCUGGUGUAGCGGUGAAAUGCGCAGAUAUCAGGAGGAACACCGAUGGCGAAGGCAGGUCUCUGGGCCACUACUGACGCUGGAGAAGCGAAAAGCAUGGGGAGCGAACAGG